RNAcentral lists this transfer RNA (67 nucleotides) under Friesea gretae. RNAcentral's name for it is "tRNA-Glu". The record is from RNAcentral. Lineage: Eukaryota; Metazoa; Arthropoda; Collembola; Poduromorpha; Neanuridae.
CCCCUGAUAGUUUAUAAAAACAAACAUUGUGUUUUCAAUACAAAAAAAUUCAAAGGAGUUUAGGGAU